UGGUAAUGAGCUUGUAUUAUGACUCAAUAGCAUCACUUUAUCACUUUAACACAGAUGGAGGCCUAAAUAACCAUAGGGCAAUGGUUCUUCUUAGAUGCAGAAGGACACAUUUAUAUAAUCUUAGGGACCCCAUCUCUGAGGUCACUCAUAAUUUAUAUUAAUUCAUUGUUAUUGCCAUUGCCCCAAGAAUAGAUAAGGAUAAGACAUCCUGUAGUACAGGUAGCAGAGAUAUAAACUAUUCUUAUUCUUGUGUCUUGUCUAUAGGAAGGGAGUGUAUCCUGGUGUAUGACAGCAUAUAGUAGAGACCAUUGUCAAUUAGGGCCUGUGAACUGAGACAGGGUGACUGGCUAAGUCCACAACCCAUUAGAAACCCAGAAAUAAUCAAAUCAUGAGGGAUCAUGGAAAGGAAGCUGAAUUUGCCAAGUUUUGCCACGUGGGCAUUGCAUGCCUAUGUGAUUAACCACCAAUAAAAACCUGGGACAUCAAAGAAU
RNAcentral lists this long non-coding RNA (491 nucleotides) under Pan troglodytes (chimpanzee). RNAcentral's name for it is "lincRNA". The record is from RNAcentral. Lineage: Eukaryota; Metazoa; Chordata; Mammalia; Primates; Hominidae.